Molecule: small nuclear RNA, 106 nt
Organism: Dipodomys ordii (Ord's kangaroo rat)
Lineage: Eukaryota; Metazoa; Chordata; Mammalia; Rodentia; Heteromyidae
Source: Ensembl
AUUGCAUUGGCAGCACAUUUAUACUAAAAUUGGAAUGAUACAGGGAAGAUUAGCAUGGCUCCUGGGCAAGGAUGACACACAAAUUCAUGAAGUGUUCCAUAUUUUU